Mercenaria mercenaria is the source of this 12689-nucleotide RNA transcript. RefSeq lists it as uncharacterized. The transcript has 7 exons. The record is from RefSeq and is a predicted model, not a curated record. NCBI's taxonomy places the organism in Eukaryota, Metazoa, Mollusca, Bivalvia, Venerida, Veneridae.
UAUUGUCAGAAUAAAGCUAUCAUGAUGUUUCUUCGCAACUGCUUGGUUUCUUGUGUGCACGUUCUGUCUUCCUUUGCCCGAAGGUGUGUUAGGUCUCUUCGUGGGGCUUUGGGACUGGGCCCGUCCCAAAGCCAGGGUGGGGACUGUACUGAGGUGACCGAGGUUAUGCGGGCACUACCUCCCGGUAGUGAUGAGGUCGUUGCUUUGGCUGUGACGGAGGAGCUGUCUACUGAGGUGACUCCCUUCGCUAGCCAGGACCCUGUCCGUCCCGUUGAUGUUGCGGUAAUCCCAGAGGAUACGCCCGCCGCUGACGUCGAAGGUAAUGGGGAAGGGGCUCCUCAGGAUGUCCAUCCUGUGGAGCUUGAGGUGGGUCCUGUACCCCAGGUGGAACCUUUCCCUUUUGUACCUGAGGUAGAGGUGCCUCUACCACCUCUUUUUGUCCCAGAGGUAGAGGUGCCCGCUCCAUUUGUGCCACAGGUAUCCCAGGUAUUCCCAGGGAACACCAGAGACAGGGAGUCUCUGGGAGGGGUGGACCAGGGUUUAGAGGUUAAUCCUGAGGGUAGGCCAGACUUAGAUGUAGAGGUUUUUGUCCCACGCAGGUCAACUAGGACCCGUCGACCUCAUGUGCCAAUGCAAGUUAUUUGGGGGGUUAAGUCCUAUGAUUAAUAGCCAAUGGCCUCACACCUUCCCCCCCUUGUGGUUGAGGAGAACAUGACAGAAAUAAGGGUGUUUGGUAUACUUUAACAUUUAGCUACUUGUUGAUAUUGUUAUUGUUUGUUGUACUUAUUUCUUUAAAUAUGCUUCAUUGUAUUGCCAAUUGUAUUGUCCAAUCAUCCUUAUCAUCAUCAUCAUCAUCAUCAUCAUCAUGACUCAUCAUGCAUUCAUUGUCAUCAUUCAUUACAAGAUUCAUCAGUAUUCAUUUUCAAUCAUCAUCAUCACAACCAUUAGUCAUUAUCAUAAACAUUUAUCAUCAUCAUCUUUUUAAUCAUCAUUCAUUAUUUUCAUCAUCAUUCACCAAGACUUAGCAUCACCAUCAUCAGUCAUUAUCAUAUCAUAUCAUACUGUUUGUUGUAUUAUUUUCUUAAUCUUUAGUUUAGUUAAGUUUCUUUGUAUUGCAAACUUGAAUACAACUUGAACAUCCUGGAGUCUGCUUACCGUGUAAUGUAAGAGGUGCUAGUGUUAAACAGUUGGUUUUUGCACCAACUGUCUUCAAGCUGAGUGACCAGUGCCUUAACCACUUGACCAGUGCUUCCCAUUAACUAUUUUUGUGAAUAAUUCUAUAUUUUUGUCAUCUUGAUUCAAUUUUGUUGUGCUCCUGUUCCUGUCUGACAUUUUUUCUAAAAGUAUUUUUGCUUUUCUAUUUUACUUCUUAACAUUUUUCAGUAUUCAAGAUAUCUUUAAUGAUUCUUCAUUAUAGUCACCUGAAUUCUCUUUUACCAAAACAAGUAAUUUUACAGACCAUAUUUAAUGUCUCUUGUACCAAUUAUACAGGCCUACUUACAAUUUUCAUAGGAUGUACUUUACUGAUAGUGAAUUUUCAAAUAAAUUUUUCUCUGUAACUUAACAGAUAGUCCUUAUUUUAAAUAAUACAAUACUGAAACAUUUCAUUAUAAAUUUUUGCAGCCUACUGUUAGACAGGGAGACAGGAAGGAUACUUAGUUUUCUUAGGAUGUAUUUUGCAGCCUACUGUUAGACAGGGAGACAGGAAGGAUACUUAGUUUUCUUAGGAUGUAUUUUGCGGAAAGAGAAUUUUCAAAUUGAUUUUUGGUUAAUUAAGACAUAGUAUAUCAUUUCAUUGAAAAUACUUUUAACAGUAUUUCAGUUAUGUAAUGUCGGGUAGUUAACUUAACCAGUGUUCCGUGAUUCUUUACCAUUACAAAAUUGUUCUCAGCAAGUAUCUGCCAACUUCCCCAGAUGAAUCAGAGAUGGAAAAAUAAUGAUGAGGCUUAUGUUCUCUGUGACAAUUUAAGAAUUAUUCAAGUCUAGGGAGGAUUCAGAUCAAUGGCAGUGAGGGAGACUUGAACCACUUGACCACAGGGACACUUUUGUUACAGAAGACAUGUACCGUAGUACUACAGAAUUACACAACAAGCAUUUAAACCGAUAGCAGUGAGAGAAGCUUGAACCACUUGACCACAGGGGCCCCUUUUGUUACAGAAGGCAUGUACAGAAUUUCACAGCUCAAACAAGCAUUUAAACCAGUGGUAAUGAGAGAAGCUUGAACCACUUGACCACAGGGGCCUCUUUUGUUACACAAGGCAUGUACAGAAUUACACAACAAGCAUUUAAACCAAUGGCAAUGAGAGAAGCUUGAACCACUUGACCACAGGGGCCCCUUUUGUUACACAAGGCAUGUCCAGAAUAUAUAUGUAUGCAAGGUGUUAAAUGUAUACCAAACAGUCAGAUUUCUUGCCAGUUCUUUGAAACCAUGUCUUAGUUAAGUGUACUGAUUGUUGUUGUUGUUGUAUAUAGUUUGUGUAUAUUGUGUGUGUGGAGGUUGAAAGCAUGUGUUAUGUGUUACCAGUAACAGUAUGUAUACUAUAAAUACUUAAAAGACAAUACCAGAUUAUCCAAGGAGACUGUUGAAAAAUGGCGAGCGAUAUUGCAUGCAGUACUGGAUUUUCCCAGGACCCAGCAAAAACAGUAUUUAUGGUAACCAUUCUUCAAUGCACAGUACUGGUUUUUCCAGGAAAGAAGAAUGUGUGAAAAGUCAUGUGUGCUUGUUCUGUGUGGUAGUGUGUGUUGUUUGUGUGUGUUUUUAUAAAAAAAAAAAAAUACAAAAAAAAAAAAAAAAAAAAAAAAAAAAAAAAUACCAAAAAAAAAGUUUGUGCAUGUUCUUUGUAGCAUUAUGUAUAAUAUAAUUAUGUAAAAGACAAUACUAGAUUAUCGGAGAAGACAUUGUUAGCAAUGGAAAGCAAUAUUGCAUGCAGUACUGGAUUUUCCCAGGACCCAGCAAUUUCCCAGGACCAGCAAAAACAGUAUUUAUGGUAACCAUUCUUCAAUGCACUGUACUGGUUUUUUCCAGGAAAUGAAAAGAAGAAUGUGUGAGAAGUCAUUUGUAGAGUUUUGAGUUAUUUGUUCUUUGUUAGCAUGUUCUGGUGGUGGUUUUACAAAAAAUACAAAAAAAAAAUGUUUAUGCAUGUUCUUUGUAGCAGUAUGUAUACUAUAAAUACAUAAAAGACAAUACUAGAGGAGACUUUGUUAAAAAUAGCGAGUGAUAUUGCAUGCAGUACUGGAUUUUCCCAGGAACCAGUAAAAACAGUACUUUAUGGUAACCAUUCUUCAGUGCAUGGUACUGGUUUAUUUCCAGGAAAUGAAAAUUGGAGAAUGUGUGAAAAGUCAUUUGUGCUUGUUUGACUUGUUUGUUUUUGGUUGCAUGUAUUAUACAAAAAUUACAAAAAAAUAAUAAACAAAAAAGGUCUGUGCAUGUUCUUGUCUGUGGUAUUUGAUGUAAUAAUGCAAAAUUUGUUUUGUGACUAUUGCAGGCAGCAAAGUAAGACCAUCAAAUUUUGUGGAUCAUAUUUUCUCAGAAGCAAAGAAAGAGCAGCUAAGUGUGAUUGACUGGGUUGUAUUAUGAAGCAAGAAAGGAAUAUCAAAGUGCAAUGGACAGGAUUUUCUCAAGAAGGAGAAAAAGAACAUGAGGAAGGAACAUAAAAGUGCAAAAGAACUUCGUCAUUGUAAUAUGCACAUGUUAUUAAAAGAAGUAAAGUUCAACUAUCAACAGUGAAACUAUUCUGGCUGUGAAGAGUUUGAGGCUCAAGAAGAAUGUGUUCAUCACUUGUCAGCAAUUACAGAACAGAGAUUACAGGAUCAUCAAAGACUGAAGUUAAGUUGCUUGUUUCUUGUUUAAUACUUAAUUUUAGGAUGGCAUAAUUGAAAUCUUAGAAGUUAAAUUUUACAUUUAUACUCUGUAGCAGAUACAUAUAAAGAUGUUAACAUUUUGUUGCUCACACUGUAUAUGCAUUACAUGUUGAUUUUUUACUUUAAUUUUACUAUAGUUAAAGGAAUAUUUAUAUUAUUGCCAUGAAAUUAAUGUUUAUUUAUAACUUUCAGUUGCAGAACUAUUCCAGCUCUGAAGAGUGUGUUAUAUCACCUGCCAGUGGUCAUGAGCUGAGCAAACCUGUCAAGCUCAUUACAGAUUUCACAAUAUUGAAAUGGAGGGAAAUGAAGAGAUGAUAGAUUCACAAGGUUCCCAUGACGAUUUUGGAGGGAAUGGAAGGGACAUGUAGAUCAUUGACAGAUGAAAUGAGGAAACAAGUGCUAGGUAUUUACAGUGCAACCUCUGUAGAGCAACACCCUUUUUGAAAGUAACAUCUUGGAUUUUAUGGACGAAGGGCCCUUACUUAAAGGUUUCAUGAAGGACUAUGAAGCUGGUCUCCAUACAGACUUGACUGGUUAUGGUUCCUUGAAGAUUUUAUGACAAGACUGGAGGAAGCCUAUUUAUUAGCAGACAGUGCCGAAUUGGUUAUUGUUGAAGAAUAGUAAAGUGUAUGCAAUUUGGAGAUCUCAACAGUUACAUGUAGUCUGGGAUAUUGUCAGUUGUAUGCAGUCAGGGGAUCUCGACAGUUGUAUGCAGUCAGGAGAUCACGACAGUUGUAUGCAGUCAGGGGAUCUCGACUGUACUUUGCAGUCCGGGGAUCUUGACAGUUGUAUGCAGUCAGGAGAUCACGACAGUUGUAUGCAGUCCGGGGAUCUCGACUGUACUUUGCAGUCGGGGGAUCUUGACAGUUGUAUGCAAUCAGGAGAUCAUGACAGUUGUAUGCAGUCCAGGGAUCUUGACAGUUGUAUGCAGUCAGGAGAUCUUUUAUCUUUUUGUACUGUUGACAGUCUCAAGAUUCUGUCUUAAAUAACACUUACUUGGACAGUUUAAAAGCAUCUCUGUAACUUGUCUGUGACAUUCUAAAGUAGAAGACAUGUAUAUGAAUAUUUAGUUCUGGCAUGCCAUACUUGAGCAGUUGAGUUUUGGAAAGGUGGCAGUUUGAAUGUUUACAGUGGUCUCUGUAAACUAUUAUUUGGCAAAUUAACGUGGAUUGUGGUAGUAAACAUGUUAUCAGUGGUGCAAGACUGGAAUUUUUACCAAAUUCAAAAGAUUUUGACUCUAAGGUGAAAAAGUGGACUAACUGCAUGCUGAGACAUCUAUACCUUUGCACAUGCUAUAAAGAAGUGUCAUCUGUUUUCAUGGGUAGUUCCGAGGACUUUAUAAGUAAUUUUUUGCAGUUUGUGUAUUUUUGAAUGUGUUGAAGCACAAUGAGGAACUUUUGGACUUAACAGCAGUUUCAGGACAACUGGUUCAGCUGGCCGAUCUGGGACGUCCAGUGCCCAGACUGCUGGUGCCGGAAACCCCACUGACGGGACAACUAGUUAGACUGGUUGGUCCGGGUACUCACAGACCCUGACAGCUGGUGCCACAAACCCCAUGGACGUCGGCAGGAAUGGAGUUCACCAUAUGGAGUCAGAAGAAACUGAAAACACAAAACUGUUUUGAUUAGUGAUGACAACCGCACUGAUAGGAAAACUGGUUCGGCUGGCCGGUCUCGGGUGUCCAGUGCCCAGACUGCUGGUGCCAUGAACCCAAAUGAUAGGACAACUGGUUCGGCUGGACGGUUUGGGUCCUCACAGACCCAGACUGCUGGUGCCGUGAACCCUACAGAUGUUGACAGGAAUGGAAUUCACCAUAUGGAGUCGGAAGAAACUGAAAACACAAAACUUUUUUGAUUAGUGAUGACAACCGCACUGACAGGACAACUGGUUUGGCUGGCCGGUCUGGGGUCUCCAAUGCCCAGACUGCUGGUGCCGCGAACCCCACCAACAGGACAACUGGUUUGGCUGGCCGGUUUGGGUCCUCACAGACCCAGACUGCUGGUGCCGCAAACCAUGGAUGUCCAUGGCUCUCAUCUGGUGGAAGAAACAGCUACAAGUUGUGAGCAGCAUAGAAACGAGCAUUCUGGAAAUCGAGGAUAUGAUUCCAGUCGUGACCAGGCUGGUGACCUUGAUUGUGGUCAUUGGGAUACGGAGGAUUUGAUAGAAAGGUGGGGAACUGCAGACAUGGCAUGAAUAAAGGACAGGGCGGGUAUCAUGGAAGAGGUGCAUUCGAUAAACAGGGCUGGAGUAAUAGAACUAUGAGAUAUUGUUCAGGAGAACGCAGUGGGCAUGAUUCUUACCACCCACACCCUGGGAGUUCAGUAGUAGAGGUUGACAGAGCAAAUUUCAAAGAUGAUAGGAAGACAGAGAGAGCACAGACACACAGACGAUAGCCGUCGAGGCUGCCAGCAUCUUGACCGAGACUUUUAUAAUUAUUGUAAUAAACUUGGUUGAAUGUGAAUGGAUGGAACACAAAUGGCUUCUCAGAUAAUUUUAAUUUUAGAGCAAAUUUUAUUGAUAAACUUCAUUUUGAUGUGAUUGUUAUUUCAGAAACACACCUAACAGGUGAUAAGAUAAUAGAACUGUCUAUGUAUUUUAUGGACACAAUAGAAAAAAUAUUCACGUAAAUGCACAAACUGGUUCAGGUGGAGUUUGUAUUUUUGUAAAAAGGUCUUUUGCAGAACAUUUUAGUAUUGAAAUUUUAGACAUAAGCUAUGAGGGAAUUUUAUGGUUAAGUUUUAAAUCUAAAGAAGUUUUGAGAAACCUUUUACUGUUUUUGCUUGCUUUUUGCCACAAAUGGGAUCUUCUGCAUAUGUGGAGAUCAUGAUUAUUUUGACCAACAGUUAAGUAAUAUGUACUAGUAUCAGAAAUUUGGUAAAUUAUUUAUUCAUCCGUGGAUUAGAUGUAAGAGAUAACCGGCAAAGUUCUGUACCAUUUGAAUUUGUAGAUGAUUCUGGGAUUUGUACUUCUAGCCCUGUUUUAGUUUUAGUUUUAAAUAUGUGGAAAACAGACUUUUAUAACUUACACUGAAAACUGACAUGUCUUUUGAAGGGAUUGCAGAUAUUGAAAGCAAAGUAUAUAUAGAUAAUUGUACUGAUCAAGACAUUCACAUUGUUUGAUGUUAAAACUGCUAUUUUUAAUGUUAAAAAUAAUAGAGUAAUGAGAUAUGAUGAAAUACCAAGUAUAUGUUUUAAAUAUGAGGCACAGUAUUUGCAUUUGAUGUUUAAUUUCUGUUAUAACACUGGCAAAGUUAUAAAAGCUUUGGGUAAAAAUAUUAUUAACCCUGUACUGAAAGGAUCUACAAUCACUACUAAGGAUCCGUUGUCUUACGUGGGUAUUUCUAUCACACCAGUCGUACACAAAAUUAUUGGUCAUUGUUAAAUAAGAAACUUACCUUAUUUGUUAAAACAAAUUGUAUUUUAUUUGAAGGCCAAAAUUGCUUAAUAAAAGUUGAAGUACCAUUGAUCAUCUAUCGACUUUUAACAAGUAUUGUUGGUACACGGUGGAAAAUGAAGUUGUUGACAUAUUGUUCAUUUAUAGACUUAAGGAAGGCUUAUGACUGUAUAAAUAGGCAAAUUUUAUGGUGUAAAUUAGAUAGCAUUUUAGGGAAUAAGUUAUUAAAUGCCACAAAACAUAAAUGUAUAGAGUGUAGUUUUAAGUGGUAACUUCAGAUUUUAAGUGUUGUGUGUUGUACAUAUCUCCUAUAUAUAACUCUGUUUAUAGUGGCAGUACCCAAACCAAAAUGUAUGCUUGCCGCAAGCUUGCGGCAAGCUUGUGACAAGCUUGUACAGGCUGAUAUACUCAUUUGUAUUGUAAAAAUGUUCCUCUGUGCUGAUGAUAAUAAAUAAUAAAUUAACAAAUAAAUAAAAUACAAUGUCAUUGUAAAUUUGAAAUGUUUCAAGAAAUGUUUUUACAAGAGAGUGUGAAAUAAGAAAUCAUCAUUCAGUUUUUAGCUGACCUGAGCACAAAGUGCCCAAGGUGAGCUUUUGUGAUCGCCCUGUGUCCAUCGUCCAUCGGCAGUGGCGGCAGCGUCAACAAUUUGAUUAUUAACACUCCAGAGGUCACAAUUUUGGCCCAAUCUUAAUGAAACUUGGUGAGAAUGUUACCCUCAAUAAAGUCUUGGACGAGUUUGAUAUUGGGUCAUCUAGGGUCAAAAACUAGGUCACCAGGUCAAAUCAAAGGAAAAGCUUGUUAACACUCUGGAGGCCAUAUUUAUGACUGUAUCUUCAUGAAACUUGGUCAGAAUGUUAAACUUGAUAAUCUGUAGGUCAGAUUCGAAUCUGGGUCAGGUGGGGUCAAAAACUAGGUCAUAUCAAAGGAAAAGCUUGUUAACACUCUAGAGGCUACAUUUAUGACUGUAUCUUCAUGAAACUUAGUCAGAAUGUUAAACUUGAUGAUCUUAAGGUCAAGUUUGAAUCUGGGUCAUGUCGGGUCAAAAACUAGGUCACAGGGUCAAAUCAAAGGAAUAGCUAGUUAACACUUUUGAGGCCACAUUUAUGACCAUAUCUUAAUGAAACUUGGUUAGAAUGUUAAUCUUGAUGAUCUCAAGGUCAGUAGGUCAGGUGAGCGAUACAGGGCUUUCAUGGCCCUCUUGUUUUGGGUCUGUAUGAACCAUGAGCUUAUACUACAAAGGGAUGAUAUCCCUGCAUAGCUUUUCUUCCAUGUGCACACUCUGAAUCUGUUGUAAGGUGUAUGUAAUACUUAUACUAAGAGCUUAAAAAAAGCUUCUGCCUCAAAAUUUCAAUAUACUUGAAAGAUACUACCUUACCUUUUAUUUUGUCAAUGCUUGUAGCCAGGUUGGUUUAAACAAAAUCCAUGAGCAACAGACUACAGGUUAAAAUAGAAAAGCUAUUCUUGCAUUUAGUAAAUAUUCAUAUGUUAGGGAUAUGGUAGGAUAAGGCAAAAAAAAAAACAACAACAAAAAACAAACUGGCUAUUGGUUUCAGAAAACUGCCAUAUCACCACAUUUUAAGGAUGGUUUUGGCCAUGUAUUUUUGGACUAAAUUUCAGUAGAUAGGGAUGGUAAGGUAGCAUAAGGUUUUUAUUACUGCCACUGUUGUGUUAAAGUGCAUUGUAUGAUUGUGUUUAAGUCAGCCCACAUCACAUAAUAAGGUAACAGGUAUUGCCAUAUCAUUGUAUAUGUGCAACAUUUGUAGCCAGGCUGUUCGCAAAAGUUUGGUAAAAAUCCAUCAUCAAGAGAGGGCUGCAUCUCGGAUCAUAUCGUUCUUUUAUGUUUAUACAAUAUUAAAGUUGUUUUUUUUUGACACUGUUUGAAUAUUAAGACUUUGACUUGAUGAUACUGGUAACAUUAAAGCCAGUUUUGAAUAAAUUGGUUAAGAAAAAAAAAAUAUUUCUUUGUGUUUCUUACAUGAUAAUGUUUUGAUAGUCUUAGCUGUUAGGGAUAUGGUAGAAUAAUGCUAAGUGUCUAAUACUGGCUACAGGUUUUUCAUGAAAACUACCAUAUCACCACAUUUCACUUAUAAGGGCAAUUUCGGCAACAUUUAUUCAUUUUUGGACUAAAUUUCAGAGAUAGGAAUUAGUUGCUGAAGAAAAUAGGAAAAUUAUCAUCAAUUAUUUUUAUAAGUUGUAAAUAAACAAUGUGUGUUUGAGCAGUGUGCAAGAAAUUUUGUGUGUCUUCCUGACAGCUGAUGAGAUACUACUGCAAAAAGACUGCCAGAAGUUUUGGCUUUUUGGCUUAUAUGGAGACUGGCAGCUGACCUUGGACGUGUAGUAUACUUGUUUUAUUCUAGCCACUGUCAAACUUGACAGUCUUAGGGAUGCAACACUACCAUGUCAUUGUGCUUGCACAUGAUUAUGUGGCAAGUUAAGCCAUUGAAGUUUGGAGAAAAUCCUCAACUUAUAAGUUUACUAGCAAGUCAAAGAAUAACAUGAGUUUAGCCAUUACAUUUUUCUGCAUUUUAGUUUAAACAAUUGUUGUUUAUUAUUGUGUUGUAUUAUUUUAUCAUUUAAGUUUCAUGUUAUAGGACUGUGGUAGAGUGGGUCAUUUGGUUAAUGAUCCUAUUAAAUGAUAGUAACUUGCUACAGGUCUAGAAAUAAAACUACCACUUUUUGCAUUUAAUAAUCUUAUGUUUAAGUGAUAUGGUAGGAUAAAGAAAGAAAUACUGGCAACUGGUUUCAGAAAACUAUCAUAUCACAAUAUUUCAAGGGAAGUUUUGGCCUCGCCGUGCUUUAAACAUUUUUUUUUUGUUUUCAACAGCUGCACGUGCCUGGAUUUUUGAACAUUUUUGAUCUAAAUUUCAAGAAAUAGGAAUGACAUGGUAGAAUAAAGGUUAAUGUCAGCAAUUGAAUUUUUAUUAAAAUAUCAAUGUGUAGGUAAAUUUUGACAUGUUAUAAGUAUAAAGGAUCAUAGAAUAAAUGAUAACUGAUUUUUUUAAAUAACACUGUUAAUUAUAGUAAAUGAAUGUUCAGUGAAUGAAUGAUGAUUGAAUUAUGGAGCAAAAAGGGUGGAUGAAUGUUGAAUGAAUUAUUUUGUAAAACACAAUGAGUGAAUGGUAAAUGAAUUUCUUUGUAAAACACAGUGUUUGAAUACUAAAUUCAAAAUUGCUUUUUAGAACAUUGGACAGACUGUAGCUAAAGUAGUGAUAUUGUAAAACAGUGGCAGGAUUAGUUUUUGUUACUUUUUGGUUCAAAAACUAGGUCACCAGGUCAAAUCAAAGGUAAAGCUUGUUAACACUCUAGAGGCCACAUUUAUGACUGUAUCUUCAUGAAACUUGGUCAGAAUGUUAAUCUUGAUGAUCUUUAGGUCAGUAGGUCAGGUGAGCGAUACAGGACUUUCAUGGCCCUCUUGUUUUUAAUGGAAGUACUUAAAGCUAUGAAUAUACUUGAACAAAGAUCAGUCACUUUUUUGGUUUGGACCUGUCGAAAAUGAUGAUGGAUGUGACUUUGACUGAAAAAGAUCAUAAACUGGACACCCUGGAAAAUGGAAAUAUGUUGUUUGAAUAAAUUAUUCUUUUUUCAGUCUUGUAAAAAAAAAAUCUUUGAAUGACCUCUCUUAAAAAUGUUGAUAGUUAUUUUUACCAAGGGCCUGUUAAUUGACAUGGAUUUUAUUAAAUUUUCAUAUAGUUUAAUUGCUUUUACAUAAAUUUUUAACUGAUUAAUGUAUUGUGAAAAUGAUACACAUGGGCUAAUUAUAGGGAAUUUUUGUAUGUCAGACUUUGAAUUUUUGUAAUAUUGCACACCAUCUGACAGUUGGUAUAUACAUGGAGGCUUGUUGUGUGCCAAAAUAAAAAGAUCUAAUUAUAUUCUUUCUACAGUAGAUAUUGAGUUUACAUGAAUAGAACAUACAGCAAAAAUAAUGGAUUGACAUGCUUGAUGUUUUGGUGAAUCUGCUUUGAAAAUUCACAACAAUUUACCAUUUUCCUAAUAAGAGUCUGAUGUAACAUCAUAUUUUAAGGAUUUCCUGUGUAAAGAAAUGUUGAUUUUGACAAAAGGUUCAACAGUUGUAAAAGUACCAAUAUUGCGUCAUGUAUUGUACUUAAAGGUGGAUAAUCAGAUUUUGGCCAUGUAACGGAUUUGUUCACUUAACACUUAAUACAAAUUAGAUUUUCACUGGAGGUAUUUUUAAAAUUUCAUUUUCCUUUCCUGGUUGCCCAACCAAGAUAGAGUUAUUUUAUCAUAAGUAUAAAUUUGAUAAACAUACUUUGCCUAAGGAAAUGUAUAAAUAUUAGACAUAUUGUACCGGUAAUAUAUUUGUAAAAUAUUUGCAUUAAAAAUUAUGUAUUUAGAUGGAAUUCAUUAGAAAAGCAAGUUUGAAAAAUUAUUAUUACCUCCCUUUGCCUAUCUUGGUUUUGCAACCAAGAUAGAUUGGAAAUAAAUGAAUUCAGAAGCUACACACAGCUUUUAAACUUGCAUUUUGGUUCAGAUUGUUCAAUAGUUGAUAUGUCUAUCAAAUGCAAAUGUAAAACUAGACAUUGUAUCGAAAUUAAAAGAAAUACCCAGCUUUUUAUAUACUUUCAUAUUAAAGGGGAGUAAUUACAAAAUUUUAUAAAAAUAAUAGAAUAUACAUUUCAAACAGGAAUCUAACUCUAUGUAAUCGGUCUUUUUGUUCCUUAAAUAAUUCUCUACCAGAAUAUACAAAAAGUAAAAAAUGUCAUUAAAUGUUGUUUAAAUGUGACUGACCACCUUUAAAUUAUAACCCCAUGUACUGACUAGCCAAUGGCUAAAGCGAACAACUGAAAUUCUGGCUGAUUUUCCAACAAAUUUAAGAACUGUUCAUGUAAGAUGGUCUGUUAAUCUUGAGAAUGGAUUCAUUGUUGGCUAUACAGACAGACAGAGAGACAGACAGAUAUUUUAUUAACGUCUUACUUUCAUACAUAAUAAUAUGAUAUACAUUAAUAUACAAGACAUAAUUAUAAGAUUCUAAUUUACCAACAUGUACAUUUACUUAUUUAUUUUUUUUAAUUUUGUAUUUUGAUAAUUUUCAAAAAGAAUUGAGAGAUGUAUUCUGAAAUUGCAGAGUGUAGUUACUGAGGAUUAACUUGCCUUGAAAUGUGCAUGGUCAGGGGUUGUCUGAAUAAAUUUACUUAAGACUUAAGUCUACAUAAGUAUAUCUGUCCUUCCAAAGAAAUAUUUACAUUUUAUGAUUGAAUCUUGCAAAAUAUUGCAGAAACAUCUGUCCUGUAGAACAUUUGAUAUAAUACGCUUUUUAAAACAAGAGUUUGUUCUUUUUUCAGAAUUGAACACAUUGGCUGCUAAAAGAUCCAUGAAUGUAUUAUGUAUAUUUCUUAAUGUUUUGAUAGGAUAUUUCUCGUUCUUGGAUAUACAUUGUUCUUUGUUCAAUAUGUUUCAAUGACAAAAUAAAUGUACAU